GUUCGAGUGGGAGAUAUCGUUCGUGUGAUUACCGAUGAGUUGUUUCCAGCGGACUUGGUUCUCUUGUCAUCUUCAGAACCCAAUGGCGCUUGUUACGUGGAAACCUCCAAUAUAGACGGCGAAACCAACUUGAAAUAUAAGCAAGGUUGUGCGCUUACAACUCACUUAGUGACUUCGGGGGACGUACGAUUUUUUCGUGGAUUAAUAGAUUGUGAAGAACCGAACCACCACUUGAACAGUUUCAAAGGCGUUUUUAAGUGUAAAGGCUCUGGAGGUGACUUGGUGAGUGCGCCCCUCCGCUUCGAGCAACUUUUGCUGCGUGGCUGCCAA
Long non-coding RNA from Zophobas morio, 330 nucleotides. RefSeq lists it as uncharacterized. Lineage: Eukaryota; Metazoa; Arthropoda; Insecta; Coleoptera; Tenebrionidae. The record is from RefSeq and is a predicted model, not a curated record. The transcript is spliced from 4 exons.